CAGAUUACAUAGAUUCAGUCUCAACCUCUCUCAGACAGCCUAGCUGAAUCUAUGAUAUCGAUGCAACAAACGCUUCAAUAAUAGCUAAGUGGUCAGCACGAGGAAGAACAUGGUUUAGAGAGCCACUCUCGAUAUAUAAUACUACAAUUUCUUCCAUAAAGCCCCUUCUUAUAUCGAGUCAACAAAACAUCUCGUCCCCAAAUAAUGUCUCAAGAAUACAAACAAUGAUCAACUCGAGAACUUGGAGUUGGCUAGAAAAAAACACCAAGCUCGAAGACAAUACCAGGGGACAGAUGCUUCGUUUACUCGACAUUGUAAGGGGUUUAAUGGAUGAAAAAGUAGUAUUAUAUAUUAAGAAUGUGUUGAUAUACAAUGACGAAGCUGAUACCAAGUAGCUGAAAUUGAAGAACUGAAGAUACCAGAUUCUCUAGCUACUCCGCAAACCUUCUAAAGCAUCUGAAAUUGAACAGUGAAGUAUAUAUAAAAAAAGCAUCCAAUGGCAGGUGAAUUGAACAGAUCAACUCCGCGAUGAUAAGCAUUCAUAGAAAAAGAAGGCUCCAGUUUUUAUAUAUUGUCCAUCCUCUUAAGCAAGAAGAAGUGGUCAAGCAAACAAGACAUGAUCCAAAAGAAGAAAGCGUUGAAUGGAUAAUAAAAUAUUCAACGACUUACUGGUUUCUCUGAACUUGAUAUGUUAGUUUUGCAGAAGCAGAACAUAUGUAUGUGUUGUACCAAAUCCUAUAGUAUCCAAUUCAACAUCUCUCCAUGCUUCGCUCGAAAAAUCCAUAACCCUAAACAUUAAAAGUCUUCGAAAAUAUAGGACGCUAUUAAUAGGCUGAUAGCAUUAGAGUGAUGCAUUCAACAGUAUCUAAUCUGUCCCCAAUCCUCCAAAUCUGCGUUUUUCUCCUCCCUUUUCGCUUCGAUUUCUGAUUUUGAUUAUUUGUCCAUUCCGUGAUUCCAUAAAGAGAGCAGUUCCAUCGAGGUUUCAUCAUUUUACCAAAUGUCGAAUUUAAACUUUGAGAAAAGGAGAGCAGUGCGACUAAUGAUGAGCCAUGACCAUGGAUAUAAUUGUACGGCGGCAUCACACGGCCGCAAAUACCCGAUUAGCUGUCUCAGCCGAACCGCCCAUUUUAUUUUAUUUUAUUUUUUUGUCAUAAUUUGGACAACUGCCUACUAAAAAAGUCGAACUCAACGUGGUGUUCACAAUUGGGCCUAUAAAGUUUAACACAAAUGGGCCCAGUUUUUAGUAAUCCCUUUUAUCUCAGCGACGCCGUUUAUCUAACUAUCC
RNAcentral lists this long non-coding RNA (1285 nucleotides) under Arabidopsis thaliana (thale cress). RNAcentral describes it as "long non-coding RNA (ATHA_LNC000225)". The record is from RNAcentral. Lineage: Eukaryota; Viridiplantae; Streptophyta; Magnoliopsida; Brassicales; Brassicaceae.